Molecule: ribosomal RNA, 139 nt
Filed under: uncultured bacterium
Lineage: Bacteria
Description: partial 16S ribosomal RNA
Rfam family: Bacterial small subunit ribosomal RNA
Source: RNAcentral
UGGGGAAUAUUGCACAAUGGGGGAAACCCUGAUGCAGCGACGCCGCGUGAGCGAAGAAGUAUUUCGGUAUGUAAAGCUCUAUCAGCAGGGAAGAAAAAAUGACGGUACCUGAGUAAGAAGCACCGGCUAAAUACGUGCC